RNAcentral lists this ribosomal RNA (253 nucleotides) under uncultured bacterium. RNAcentral's name for it is "partial 16S ribosomal RNA". It matches the Rfam family "Bacterial small subunit ribosomal RNA", at positions 524 to 776 of the family's 1533-position model. The record is from RNAcentral.
UACAGAGGUCUCAAGCGUUGCUCGGAUUCAUUGGGCGUAAAGGGUGCGUAGGCGGCGCGGUAAGUCGGGUGUGAAAUCUCGGGGCUUAACUCCGAAACUGCAUUCGAUACUGCCGUGCUUGAGGACUGGAGAGGAGACUGGAAUUUACGGUGUAGCGGUGAAAUGCGUAGAUAUCGUAAGGAAGACCAGUGGCGAAGGCGGGUCUCUGGACAGUUCCUGACGCUGAGGCACGAAGGCCAGGGGAGCAAACGGG